CAGAGAAUAGUUUAAAGUAAAAUAUUAGUUUUGGGGAUUAAAGAUAAAGUAAUUUCUUUUUCUCUGA
This 67-nucleotide transfer RNA is filed under the name Trapezia cymodoce. Its description in RNAcentral is "tRNA-Pro". It matches the Rfam family "tRNA". Rfam says of the family: Transfer RNA (tRNA) molecules are approximately 80 nucleotides in length. Their secondary structure includes four short double-helical elements and three loops (D, anti-codon, and T loops). The record is from RNAcentral. Lineage: Eukaryota; Metazoa; Arthropoda; Malacostraca; Decapoda; Trapeziidae.